RNAcentral lists this ribosomal RNA (468 nucleotides) under uncultured bacterium. RNAcentral describes it as "partial 16S ribosomal RNA". The stretch from base 20 to 332 matches the Rfam family "Bacterial small subunit ribosomal RNA", at positions 47 to 358 of the family's 1533-position model. The record is from RNAcentral.
GACGAACGCUGGCGGCGUGCUUAACACAUGCAAGUCGAACGGAAAGGCCCUGCUUUUGUGGGGUGCUCGAGUGGCGAACGGGUGAGUAACACGUGAGUAACCUGCCCUUGACUUUGGGAUAACUUCAGGAAACUGGGGCUAAUACCGGAUAGGAGCUCCUGCUGCAUGGUGGGGGUUGGAAAGUUUCGGGGGUUGGGGAUGGACUCGCGGCUUAUCAGCUUGUUGGUGGGGUAGUGGCUUACCAAGGCUUUGACGGGUAGCCGGCCUGAGAGGGUGACCGGAGAGGUUGGGAUUGAGACAGGGGGCGGAGGCAGCAGGGAGGGAGGAGGGGGGGAAAGGGCGAAGGGGGUGGGAGGAGUAAGGAGCGGCGCCGUGUGGGGUGGGACGGUAGUCGGGGGGGAAAGAGGGUUAGGCGGUUACGGAGGGGGAGGGAGGUGGACGGGUAAAGAAGCGACGGCUAACUACGUG